RNAcentral lists this long non-coding RNA (290 nucleotides) under Physcomitrium patens. Its description in RNAcentral is "long non-coding RNA (PPAT_LNC011116)". Lineage: Eukaryota; Viridiplantae; Streptophyta; Bryopsida; Funariales; Funariaceae. The record is from RNAcentral.
UUAUAAUACAUCAAUUUAAUUUACUAUAAUAUGAAGCUACAAGAUUAGUUCAAAUUAAAGUUAUAAAAAUGGUUGAAACUACUUGAAUAAUUGUACCAAAUUAUAUUAUUUUUUAUAUAGUCAAAAAUUAUUCAAUAACUUUCUUAAGUAUUAAAAAAUCAAGAAUUGUCUUACUUGAGAAGUUUGAUGGUAUAAAAUCAAGAUUUCAAAGAUUUUUCAAUUAAAUAAAAUCAAUUAUUGAAUUUCAACAUUAAAUUUUUUUAAUUUUUAAAUCAUAAGUCAAGUUUAUU